Molecule: transfer RNA, 72 nt
Filed under: Candidatus Omnitrophica bacterium CG23_combo_of_CG06-09_8_20_14_all_40_11
Lineage: Bacteria; Pseudomonadati; Candidatus Omnitrophota
Description: tRNA-Cys
Rfam family: tRNA
About the family: Transfer RNA (tRNA) molecules are approximately 80 nucleotides in length. Their secondary structure includes four short double-helical elements and three loops (D, anti-codon, and T loops). Further hydrogen bonds mediate the characteristic L-shaped molecular structure. tRNAs have two regions of fundamental functional importance: the anti-codon, which is responsible for specific mRNA codon recognition, and the 3' end, to which the tRNAs corresponding amino acid is attached (by aminoacyl-tRNA synthetases). tRNAs cope with the degeneracy of the genetic code in two manners: having more than one tRNA (with a specific anti-codon) for a particular amino acid; and 'wobble' base-pairing, i.e. permitting non-standard base-pairing at the 3rd anti-codon position.
Source: RNAcentral
GGCGACGUAGCCAAGCGGUAAGGCAAUUGUCUGCAAAACAAUUAUUCAGCGGUUCGAAUCCGCUCGUCGCCU